GAGCCACCGCACCCGGCCAAGUUUUUUCUUUUUUUAUAUGUAAUAAGUUGGAUAAAGUGUUUAUAAAAAGUUAAAAGUAGGCCCUCAAGCAGGUAAAGUAGGCUUGCUUCUUUUCAGAGCUAUCCAUGCUGAUUCCAGGCAUAGAGAAUGCCUCCUUUGCCCUAUUCAUUAAAGGGCUUCACCCUGAAGUCAGUAAUCUAAUAGAGAAACAAGCUAAGUUGAAAAGACCCUGUGAUGGUUAAUAUUAGCUGUCAACCUGAUUGGAUUGAAGGAUGGUAAAGUAUUGUUCUUGGGUGUGUUGUGAGGGUGUUGCCAGAGGAAAUUGACAUUGGAGUCAGUGGACUGAGAGAGGAAGACCCACCCUCAGUGUGGGUGGGCACCAUCCGAUUGGCUGACAGUGUGGCUGGAACAAAGCAGGUGGAGGAGGGUGGGAGAAGCUGGCUUGCUGAGUCUUCUGGCUUUUGUAGCCACCCAGUGAGUUCACCUAGCCGGCUGCCUAGAUGGAGCGGAUUUAUCAGGACAGGGGAAUUGCAAUGCAGAACGAGUAAUUUACACAGAGCUACCUGUGCGGGCGACUGGAGUUUUAUUAUUACUCAAAUUAGACAUCCCAAGAAUUUGCAGAUCAGAGUUUUUAAAGAUAAUUUGGCGGCUCAGGAAGUAGGAGUGCUGAUUGAUCUGGCUGGAGAUGGAAUCACAGGGAGGUCAAAGUGAGGUUUCCUUGCUGUCUUCUGUUCCUGGGUACAAUGGCAGAACUGGCUGAGCCAGAUAGCCGGUCUGUGUGGUAUCAGCUGAUCCAUAGAGUACAGGGUCUUGCAGAAUAAAUACCUCAAGCACUGAUCUUCGGAUUACAAUGGUGAUGUUAUCCCCAGGAGCAAUUUCGGGAGGUUUGGACAGCCAGAGGCUGGAUGACCUUUAAAUCAAAAUUUCUUUUUUUUUUUUUCAAAGAAGCCCCAUUUUAUUACAGAGAGCAUACAAAGCCGUUUCCU
This 986-nucleotide long non-coding RNA is filed under the name Homo sapiens (human). RNAcentral's name for it is "non-protein coding lnc-CRYAA-11:1". The record is from RNAcentral. Lineage: Eukaryota; Metazoa; Chordata; Mammalia; Primates; Hominidae.